UGGGGAAUAUUGGACAAUGGGCGCAAGCCUGAUCCAGCCAUGCCGCGUGGGUGAAGAAGGCCCUAGGGUUGUAAACCCCUUUCAGCGGGGAAGAUAAUGACGGUACCCGCAGAAGAAGCCCCGGCUAACUCCGUGCCAGCAGCCGCGGUAAUACGGAGGGGGCUAGCGUUGUUCGGAAUUACUGGGCGUAAAGCGCGGGUAGGCGGACUUUCAAGUCAGGGGUGAAAUCCCGAGGCUCAACCUCGGAACUGCCUUUGAUACUGUAAGUCUUGAGUCCGAGAGAGGUGAGUGGAAUUCCUAGUGUAGAGGUGAAAUUCGUAGAUAUUGGAUGGAUCACCGGUGGCGAAAGCGGCUCUCUGGUCCGAACCUGACGCUGAGGCGCGAAAGCGUGGGGAGCGAACAGGAUUAGAUACCCCUGUAGUCG
RNAcentral lists this ribosomal RNA (424 nucleotides) under uncultured prokaryote. Its description in RNAcentral is "bacterial SSU rRNA". It matches the Rfam family "Bacterial small subunit ribosomal RNA", at positions 355 to 796 of the family's 1533-position model. The record is from RNAcentral.